GAUGAACGCUGGCGGCGUGCCUAACACAUGCAAGUCGAGCGAAGCGCCUUACUUGAUUUCUUCGGGAUGAAAGUAUUGUGACUGAGCGGCGACGGGUGAGUAACGCGUGGAUAACCUGCCUCAUACAGGGGGAUAACAGUUAGAAAUGACUGCUGAUACCGCAUAAGCGCACGGUAUCGCAUGAUACAGUGUGAAAAGCCGAGACGGUAUGAGAUGGACCCGCGUCUGAUUAGCUAGUUGGCGGGGUAACGGCCCACCAAGGCGACGAUCAGUAGCCGGACUGAGAGGUUGAACGGCCACAUUGGGACUGAGACACGGCCCAG
RNAcentral lists this ribosomal RNA (323 nucleotides) under uncultured bacterium. RNAcentral describes it as "bacterial SSU rRNA". It matches the Rfam family "Bacterial small subunit ribosomal RNA", at positions 28 to 334 of the family's 1533-position model. The record is from RNAcentral.